UGCAAGUCGAGGGGCAGCACGAUGUAGCAAUACAUUGGUGGCGACCGGCGGACGGGUGCGUAACACGUAUGCAACUUGCCUUAUACUGGGGAAUAGCCCGAAGAAAUUCGGAUUAAUACCCCAUAAUAUCAGGAUAAGCAUUUAUCUUGGUUGAAAACUCCGGUGGUAUAAGAUGGGCAUGCGGUCGAUUAGCUUGUUGGUGAGGUAAUGGCUCACCAAGGCGACGAUCGAUAGGGGGCCUGAGAGGGUGAUCCCCCACACUGGUACUGAGACACGGACCAGACUCCUACGGGAGGCAGCAGUAAGGAAUAUUGGUCAAUGGGCGAGAGCCUGAACCAGCCACGCCGCGUGAAGGAAGACGGCCCUACGGGUUGUAAACUUCUUUUCUACGGGAAUAAACCUCAGGACGUGUCGUGAGCUGAAGGUACCGUAGGAAUAAGCAUCGGCUAACUCCGUGCCAGCAGCCGCGGUAAUACGGAGGAUGCAAGCGUUAUCCGGAUUUAUUGGGUUUAAAGGGUGCGUAGGUGGGAUAAUAAGUCAGAGGUGAAAGCUAGCAGCUUAACUGUUAAAUUGCCUUUGAUACUGUUAUUCUUGAGUGUAGUUGGCGUUGGCGGAAUGUGACAUGUAGCGGUGAAAUGCGUAGAUAUGUCACAGAACACCGAUCGCGAAGGCAGCUAACGAAGCUAUCACUGACACUGAU
This 700-nucleotide ribosomal RNA is filed under the name uncultured bacterium. Its description in RNAcentral is "bacterial SSU rRNA". It matches the Rfam family "Bacterial small subunit ribosomal RNA", at positions 56 to 750 of the family's 1533-position model. The record is from RNAcentral.